GAAGAAUGCUUAUAUUUGAUACAUUCAUGAAAUACCUUAUUGAUGUGUGACGUGUGAUGUGAUUAGAGGUUGUGUGGUCCUACCUUCAGUGGUCAGCUGCAGAGUAUAACUGCCUUUAUUAUUCCCGUUUGCAUCAAAGGUGUCUAAAGUGUAUGUUCCAGAGUCGCUCCUCUCUGCACUGGUUAGUAUCAUGGUUUUAUUAUCUUUAACAAACUGCCAUCUUGGGUGAUUUGGUUUUGGUGGGUUACUUUGGGUUUUUCUAUAUCUUAAAAUUAAACGAGUGGUAGAUGUCUUGUCUGUGAUCUUUAGUUCAAACCCAUCCUCCAGGGGCAUUUGCAGGUGCAGUCGUUGUCCCAGAGCUACAUAACACUGACUACUCUCAUUAAAUCUACAGACAACAGGAUCCUGAAACAGCAAACCUGCAGAAGAAGAAAAAUCAGGAACAUUCUUAAUAUUAUUACACACCUUGUUAUCUUCUAAUAAAUGACACUCCAUAAUGACACACACACACAGCUGGAUUCAAUAAAGAAAAGAAAGUGGGAAUAAUUGCACAUAUUUAGUGAAAGAAGAAGUGUGUGUGUGCGUGUGUGUGUGUGUGUGCGUGUGGUUCUUAGGCUUUGUGUGUGUGUGUGUGGGGGGGGGGGGGGGGGGUUGUUUUAACGUUUGUUGUCAAACAUCAUUUGAUUGAUGAAGACAUUCACAGAAAAAAAAUAUUUUGCACUUUUGAAGUGCAGGAAGU
Ictalurus punctatus (channel catfish) is the source of this 739-nucleotide long non-coding RNA. The record is from Ensembl. Lineage: Eukaryota; Metazoa; Chordata; Actinopteri; Siluriformes; Ictaluridae.